Molecule: transfer RNA, 72 nt
Filed under: Blastobotrys adeninivorans
Lineage: Eukaryota; Fungi; Ascomycota; Dipodascomycetes; Dipodascales; Trichomonascaceae
Description: tRNA Gly (CCC) score
Rfam family: tRNA
About the family: Transfer RNA (tRNA) molecules are approximately 80 nucleotides in length. Their secondary structure includes four short double-helical elements and three loops (D, anti-codon, and T loops).
Source: RNAcentral
GCGAUAGUGGUCUAGUGGCUAUGACGUUGCAUUCCCAAUGCUGAGAUCCGGGUUCGAUUCCCGGCUGUCGCA